AACGAACGCUGGCGGCAUGCCUAACACAUGCAAGUCGAACGAAGGCUUCGGCCUUAGUGGCGCACGGGUGAGUAACGCGUGGGAAACUGCCUAUUGGUGGGGAAUAACGACGGGAAACUGUCGCUAAUACCGCAUAAGCCCUUCGGGGGAAAGAUUUAUCGCCGAUAGAUGUGCCCGCGUCCGAUUAGCUAGUUGGUGAGGUAAUGGCUCACCAAGGCGACGAUCGGUAGCUGGUCUGAGGGGAUGAUCAGCCACACUGGGACUGAGACACGGCCCAGACUCCUACGGGAGGCAGCAGUGGGGAAUAUUGGACAAUGGGCGAAAGCCUGAUCCAGCAAUGCCGCGUGAGUGAUGAAGGCCUUAGGGUUGUAAAGCCCUUUCGGGUGGGACGAUGAUGACGGUACCACCAGAAGAAGCCCCGGCUAACUUCGUGCCAGCCGCCGCAGUAA
RNAcentral lists this ribosomal RNA (449 nucleotides) under uncultured bacterium. RNAcentral's name for it is "partial 16S ribosomal RNA". It matches the Rfam family "Bacterial small subunit ribosomal RNA", at positions 29 to 523 of the family's 1533-position model. The record is from RNAcentral.